UACAGAGGGUGCGAGCGUUAAUCGGAAUUACUGGGCGUAAAGGGUGCGUAGGUGGUCAAUUAAGUUAGGUGUGAAAUCCCUGGGCUUAACCUAGGAAUGGCAUUUAAGACUGAUUGGCUAGAGUUUGGGAGAGGGAAGUGGAAUUUCCGGUGUAGCGGUGAAAUGCGUAGAUAUCGGAAGGAACACCAGUGGCGAAGGCGACUUCCUGGCCCGAUACUGACACUGAGGCACGAAAGCGUGGGGAGCGAACAGG
RNAcentral lists this ribosomal RNA (253 nucleotides) under uncultured bacterium. RNAcentral's name for it is "partial 16S ribosomal RNA". It matches the Rfam family "Bacterial small subunit ribosomal RNA", at positions 524 to 776 of the family's 1533-position model. The record is from RNAcentral.